This 253-nucleotide ribosomal RNA is filed under the name uncultured bacterium. Its description in RNAcentral is "partial 16S ribosomal RNA". It matches the Rfam family "Bacterial small subunit ribosomal RNA", at positions 524 to 776 of the family's 1533-position model. The record is from RNAcentral.
GACAGAGGGUGCAAACGUUGCUCGGAACUACUGGGCGUAAAGCGCGUGUAGGCUGACCGGAAAGUCGGGCGUGAAAUCCCUGGGCUCAACCCAGGAACUGCACUCGAAACUCCCGGUCUUGAGUGGUGGAGAGGGAAGUGGAAUUCCUGGUGUAGAGGUGAAAUUCGUAGAUAUCAGGAGGAACACCAGUGGCGAAGGCGGCUUCCUGGACACAAACUGACGCUGAGACGCGAAAGCGUGGGGAGCAAACAGG